AAAUUGAAGAGUUUGAUCAUGGCUCAGAUUGAACGCUGGCGGCAGGCCUAACACAUGCAAGUCGAACGGUAACAGGAAGCAGCUUGCUGCUUUGCUGACGAGUGGCGGACGGGUGAGUAAUGUCUGGGAAGCUGCCUGAUGGAGGGGGAUAACUACUGGAAACGGUGGCUAAUACCGCAUAACGUCGCAAGACCAAAGAGGGGGACCUUCGGGCCUCUUGCCAUCAGAUG
RNAcentral lists this ribosomal RNA (230 nucleotides) under Salmonella enterica subsp. diarizonae. Its description in RNAcentral is "partial 16S ribosomal RNA". It matches the Rfam family "Bacterial small subunit ribosomal RNA", at positions 1 to 227 of the family's 1533-position model. The record is from RNAcentral. Lineage: Bacteria; Pseudomonadati; Pseudomonadota; Gammaproteobacteria; Enterobacterales; Enterobacteriaceae.